This 465-nucleotide ribosomal RNA is filed under the name uncultured bacterium. Its description in RNAcentral is "partial 16S ribosomal RNA". It matches the Rfam family "Bacterial small subunit ribosomal RNA", at positions 28 to 507 of the family's 1533-position model. The record is from RNAcentral.
GACGAACGCUGGCGGCGUGCUUAACACAUGCAAGUCGAACGGAAAGGCCCUGCUUGCAGGGUACUCGAGUGGCGAACGGGUGAGUAACACGUGGGUGAUCUGCCCUGCACUUCGGGAUAAGCCUGGGAAACUGGGUCUAAUACCGGAUAGGAGCCAUUUUUAGUGUGAUGGUUGGAAAGUUUUUUCGGUGUAGGAUGAGCUCGCGGCCUAUCAGCUUGUUGGUGGGGUAAUGGCCUACCAAGGCGGCGACGGGUAGCCGGCCUGAGAGGGUGGACGGCCACAUUGGGACUGGGAUACGGCCCAGACUCCUACGGGAGGCAGCAGCGGGGAAUAUUGCACAAUGGGCGCAAGCCUGAUGCAGCGACGCCGCGUGGGGGAUGACGGCCUUCGGGUUGUAAACUCCUUUCGCUAGGGACGAAGCUUUUUGUGACGGUACCUAGAUAAGAAGCACCGGCUAACUACGUG